RNAcentral lists this microRNA (21 nucleotides) under Picea abies (Norway spruce). Its description in RNAcentral is "pab-miR11527". The record is from miRBase by way of RNAcentral. Lineage: Eukaryota; Viridiplantae; Streptophyta; Pinopsida; Pinales; Pinaceae.
UCUGAGUAAAGGCACGUUCGG